Molecule: long non-coding RNA, 816 nt
Organism: Bos indicus x Bos taurus (hybrid cattle)
Lineage: Eukaryota; Metazoa; Chordata; Mammalia; Artiodactyla; Bovidae
Source: Ensembl
UAGAAAUGUUCUUUUAAUAAAUGUACUAAAUAAGAUGCAUAAUUUAGCUCCUUCUCUGUAGCCUGCCGGCCAGCUGCCAGCUCUGAACUCCUUCUCGGCCUCUCUCUUUUCCUCCUCCCUUGAUCUCUCACCAUCCCUCCCUUGGGUUUGACUCAGCACGGAAAUUACCUGCUGGCCUGGUAAAAACAAUCUCAUUAAAAAGCCAUCACAGUUGUGCCUGAUGGCUUCAUUUGUCCCCCAGUGGCUCAAUUUAUACCUUCCUUUGGAACAAGCAGAGAGUGAGUACUCUCCAGGAUGGCUUUUUCCAGCUGUACUAUAUGCAUCCCAACAGACCACAGGCCUCAAGUAAAAGUCAACAAGCUGAGAAUCCGAAGACCUUGUUUUAAGAUAGACCGUUGGAAAACUGUUUGCUAUCUGGACUCACAAAGAUAAGAGUCAACACACAGUCAGCAAUAGAGUGUGGCCUCUGGGAGAUCACAUGGCUCCACAUUCAGAAUCCCCAGAUGCUGUUAUCAAGAUCAAGCACGCCGUACCUGAAUGAGACAUUUGUUCCUGAGAACAGUCCUGAAAUUUUCUUGAAGACCUAAGGAGAGCAUUUCCCUUGAGGACAUUUUCACUGGGAGGACUUUACAGUUGCCUAUGUAGGCUGUCAAAAAAAAUCACCUGAAGAUGGGUUUAAUUUACCUUAUUACUGAAAGGAAAAUGUGCCGGGACAAAAUUACUGCAGAAUAAGUAGGCUUUUAGGUACCUUUGUGUAUAUAAUAUUGAAACACUGUAGCAUGUUUUUUCUGAAGGGAUUGGUAAGAAGAUGUGGAG